This 1206-nucleotide long non-coding RNA is filed under the name Pomacea canaliculata. RNAcentral's name for it is "uncharacterized LOC112573102, transcript variant X3". The record is from RNAcentral. Lineage: Eukaryota; Metazoa; Mollusca; Gastropoda; Architaenioglossa; Ampullariidae.
GUGUAAUACUCAGACGCGUUGCAUAGGCCUAGCAUCGAGCGAAGCUAGCCACAAGAGCCAAAGGUUGCACACCGCACACCUAUGAUCUAGCCAAGCUAUUCCCAAGCGAAGCGAAGCUAUCCCCUAGUAUAGAAAAGCUUGCCCCUAUAGUAUAGCCAAGCUAGCCCCAAGCGUAGUGAAGUUAGCCGCUAGUAUUGCGAAGCAAGCCCCUGGCGUAGCGAAGCUAGCAGCUUUUGGAGGUUCUACGCUUUCCAUUCAAGAUGGCGGACAUUGUUAUCGCUCUCAAGUUUUCAGAUGAAAGUUUCUUUGACGUUCCUACUAAAAAGAGUAUUGGGAUCGUAUACGAAGUGAUUUCUGCUUUCUAGUUCCAAAAGUUAUUAUCUCCAGAAACUCCAGAUACUAUAAAGCUACAGUAGAUUCCAACAAGUAAAUAGGCCAGGGAAGAUCACGAUGGAACUACUAUUCCAGAAUGGCCGAAAUCUUGGAGGGAGACCCGUCAGUCAUCCCAUCAGUGACAAUAUCAUCACUGGGGGGUGUAAAAGUAAACACUUUCUCCGAGAUCUCCAACAUCCAGCAAGGUGCCACCCCUACAAAGAGCCCUAUCAAGAACAGCAAGGAAUAUCUCAGGAGACUCCUGUGUGCAGGAAACAGAGGAGAUCCAACAAGGAAUUGUCAGAGCAGCUUCAGAGUUAUUGUGAAAGGAGCCUGGCAAUUCAGGCAGCGAUGCUGGUGGAGGAGAGAAAAAGAACAGCAUUGCUAGAGAACCUAAGGAAGAUGUAGACGAUGAUAAAGAAAAGGAGCUUCUUCAUCGCCGUGAGCACUAUCGGCAUCGUCAUCCUGGUCAUCACGAUCAACUACAACUGGACCCUGGACAGAAGGCGCACCUGGGUCCUGUGGACAAGGAAUGAACCACAACUAACAAACACAGAGACCAGCAUAUUUGAACUGAUGGACAGCUGCCUUCAACACAAGGAAUCACUCUCGACAGAAGAGUUACUCAAGGCUCGUCAAUGCCUGAAGAGGGCGACAACCGAGAUAACUCUGAUGAAAGUCAAGCAGUCAGAGACCGAUGAAGACUUCAAUCAAACCAAGGCCCUGUACCCUCUGAGUACGGAGCGAGAGACUGCGAGACGGAGAGUAGAAUCAACGCGAGAGAGGUCUUCUACUCAUCACUGCCAAGAUGGACGCACUCAGCCACGGAAACUU